Hemiscyllium ocellatum (epaulette shark) is the source of this 317-nucleotide long non-coding RNA. RefSeq lists it as uncharacterized. The transcript has 3 exons. NCBI's taxonomy places the organism in Eukaryota, Metazoa, Chordata, Chondrichthyes, Orectolobiformes, Hemiscylliidae. The record is from RefSeq and is a predicted model, not a curated record.
GGGGAGGAAAGAAUGGGAUUCAGUAUGUGUUGGAGAACUGCCAGAAUCAUUCCUGCUGGGCCGAUAUUGAUCCCUCAAGCAAAACCAUCAAGACAAGGAAAUGUUACUUUAUCCAACUCCCUUUUUGAAUGAUAUCAAAAGAAGAAGGUAUCUGAAAAGAAGAAUGUGCAAUGCAAUGGAGAGAAGGUGAAGGAGUGGACCAACAUGAAUUGUUCAUUUGUCGAGCCAAUGCAAUUACAAUGGGCUCUGUUGCCUCCUUCUGCACUGUAAUCAACCUGUGACUGUGUUUACACUGUACUUUAAAACAAUACAUUGCA